Molecule: ribosomal RNA, 301 nt
Filed under: uncultured bacterium
Lineage: Bacteria
Description: partial 16S ribosomal RNA
Rfam family: Bacterial small subunit ribosomal RNA
Source: RNAcentral
CAGCCGCCGCGGGAAUACGAAGGGUGCAAGCGUUACUCGGAAUUACUGGGCGUAAAGCGUGCGUAGGUGGUGGUUUAAGUCCGUUGUGAAAGCCCUGGGCCCAACCUGGGAAUUGCAGUGGAUACUGGGUCACUAGAGUGUGGUAGAGGAUAGUGGAAUUUCCGGUGUAGCAGUGAAAUGCGUAGAGAUCGGAAGGAACAUCUGUGGCGAAGGCGACUAUCUGGGCCAACACUGACACUGAGGCACGAAAGCGUGGGGAGCAAACAGGAUUAGAUACCCCAGUAGUCCCUGUCUCUUAUAC